This 371-nucleotide ribosomal RNA is filed under the name uncultured organism. RNAcentral describes it as "partial 16S ribosomal RNA". It matches the Rfam family "Bacterial small subunit ribosomal RNA", at positions 527 to 896 of the family's 1533-position model. The record is from RNAcentral.
AGAGGGUGCGAGCGUUAAUCGGAAUUACUGGGCGUAAAGGGCGCGUAGGUGGUGACGUAGGUUACAGGUGAAAGCCCCGGGCUUAACCCGGGAAGUGCCUGUAAAACGGCGUGACUGGAGUACAGUAGAGGGAAGUGGAAUUUCCGGAGUAGCGGUGAAAUGCGUAGAUACCGGAAGGAACACCAGUGGCGAAGGCGACUUUCUGGACUGAUACUGACACUGAGGCGCGAAAGCGUGGGUAGCGAACAGGAUUAGAUACCCUGGUAGUCCACGCUGUAAACGAUGAGAACUAGCCGUUGGAAGCGGAAACGUUUCAAGUGGCGCAGCUAACGCGAUAAGUUCUCCGCCUGGGGAGUACGGCCGCAAGGCUA